This 67-nucleotide transfer RNA is filed under the name Cosmoscarta mandarina. RNAcentral's name for it is "tRNA-Pro". Lineage: Eukaryota; Metazoa; Arthropoda; Insecta; Hemiptera; Cercopidae. The record is from RNAcentral.
CAGUAAAUAGUUUAUUAAAAUAUAAGUUUUGGGAAUUUAAGAUAGGAAAAAUUUUUCUUUUUACUGA